RNAcentral lists this ribosomal RNA (1215 nucleotides) under Pseudogymnoascus sp. RNAcentral's name for it is "partial large subunit ribosomal RNA". It matches the Rfam family "Eukaryotic large subunit ribosomal RNA", at positions 76 to 1465 of the family's 3401-position model. The record is from RNAcentral. Lineage: Eukaryota; Fungi; Ascomycota; Leotiomycetes; Thelebolales; Thelebolaceae.
UACCUCAGUAACGGCGAGUGAAGCGGUAACAGCUCAAAUUUGAAAUCUGGCCUCACGGUCCGAGUUGUAAUUUGUAGAGGAUGCUUCGAGCAUGGUCUGGCCUAAGUUCCUUGGAACAGGACGUCAUAGAGGGUGAGAAUCCCGUAUGCGGCCAGGUGCCUACGCUCAUGUGAAGCUCCUUCGACGAGUCGAGUUGUUUGGGAAUGCAGCUCAAAAUGGGUGGUAAAUUUCAUCUAAAGCUAAAUAUUGGCCAGAGACCGAUAGCGCACAAGUAGAGUGAUCGAAAGAUGAAAAGCACUUUGGAAAGAGAGUUAAACAGUACGUGAAAUUGUUGAAAGGGAAGCGCUUGCAACCAGACUUGCGCGCGGCCGAUCAUCCGGUGUUCUCACCGGUGCACUCGGCCGUGCUCAGGCCAGCAUCGGUUUUGGCGGCUGGAUAAAGGCCAUAGGAAUGUAGCUCCUCUCGGGGAGUGUUAUAGCCUAGGGUGCAAUGCAGCCUGCUGGGACCGAGGACCGCGCUUCGGCUAGGAUGCUGGCGUAAUGGUUGUAAGCGGCCCGUCUUGAAACACGGACCAAGGAGUCUAACAUCUAUGCGAGUGUUUGGGUGUCAAACCCAUACGCGUAAUGAAAGUGAACGGAGGUGAGAACCCUUAAGGGUGCAUCAUCGACCGAUCCUGAUGUCUUCGGAAGGAUUUGAGUAAGAGCAUAGCUGUUGGGACCCGAAAGAUGGUGAACUAUGCCUGAAUAGGGUGAAGCCAGAGGAAACUCUGGUGGAGGCUCGCAGCGGUUCUGACGUGCAAAUCGAUCGUCAAAUUUGGGUAUAGGGGCGAAAGACUAAUCGAACCAUUGACCUGUAGGAACACUACUAGGUGGGUUAAGAGGCGGCUAAAAGUGCCGUCUAGUCCCGACGCCGGGGCGACACUGUCAAAUUGCGGGAACAUCCUUAGAGCCUAGACUACCGCAGCCUUCCCGAAAGGGGGGUGCGCACCAGGGUAACGACCUCGGGUAUGGUAAUAACGUCUAGGAUUGGACAAUCCGCAGCCAAGCCCUACGGACCUCGGUCUAUGGGUGCAGUUCAUCGACUAGAUGGCAGUGGGUGGCAGCAAUGCCGCUUAAGAUAUAGUCAGACCCCCGGGAGACCGGGCGGCAGAACGAAGACCGUGGGGGGCGUCCUCUCUGAGAGCCCCGCGGUCCCGAGUCUGCUGGUGGCGUUGCA